RNAcentral lists this long non-coding RNA (2756 nucleotides) under Volvox carteri. RNAcentral describes it as "long non-coding RNA (VCAR_LNC003084)". Lineage: Eukaryota; Viridiplantae; Chlorophyta; Chlorophyceae; Chlamydomonadales; Volvocaceae. The record is from RNAcentral.
UCAGCUGCUACAUUUGGUAUCGAGACCUCGUGAAAAAUCACGAUCCUGAAGUCGUCGGUUCAACCCCCACCGAUCACGUUCGAGUGGUAUUUCGGGUGUGGCGACUGAGUGAGCGAAUAUCGCACAAAAAAACUAAAAAAAAGUAGCUGAACCGACUGGAUUGUCUCUGUGCCUGAAAAACCUGAAGGCUAGGCGCAUGAAGGGCGGCAUGACGCGACGUGGGCUUGGCCACCCCACUGCCCGAGGGUAGGCGAAGGUAGGCACAGGCUGGCGGUAUACGAGGCUCUAAGGGCCCGGGACGGUUCCCUUCAAAGGGGGGGGAAUGUAGCAGCCAGUACACAGUACGGUGCUAUAAAUACGCGCAGAGCGCGACCGCCAGCAACUCGAGAGACCUUUUCAGCGGUCAGCUGCUACAGGCUCCACUUUACAUGCGGGUGCACGUGUGUACAAAGAGCAGGAUUGCGCAGACUCAGCAGAACUUCGUAUGUUGGUGCAGCCGACCAAGGAAGUUACCGACCAGCACACCCUACCUCGCUACCUGGCAAGCAUACAUAGCACCUGUAGUAGCUGGCCGCUGAAAAGGCCUCUCGAGAUGCUGGUGGUCGUGCUUCGCGAGUAUUUGUAGCGCUGUACUGUGUACCAGCUACUACAGCAUCCUUGAGCAGAGAGAGGCUGAUGAUGAGAGCGGGGAACGAAUCAUCACCAAAGCUCUUCCAUCAUAUGAUGGAAAGCAUCAUGCAUCAUAUGAUAGGAGGUAUUAUGCAUUAUACUUCUUUGUGCGUCUGAAACUAUGCCGUCUAAUACUAUGCCGCCACCAGCACCAAUUUGCUUGUUCUCACAUCGGACGUGAUAUAACACUAUCGUACAUACUAUACGACGGUAUAUAUAUACGACGGUAUAUACAUAUAUAUUAUAUAUAUACGACGUGAGUCUUUUCCGGAAAGAACCGAACGGUGGAUGCAGAUCCCGUGAUAUGCCCAGCUGGAUACUACAGAUAGGGAGCUGAUUUUGCCAUAAACCAAGCCGCUCUGUUGCAACAUUGCAUACAUAACCUGAUGCAUUCAUCACUUCCUGCUGUCAUUACCCUCAUCAACAACGAUGAGGUAUUUUACUGCGGAACGUAUGUCGCUUGAGCAACAAGAUUACUAGCACCUGCUAACAGCACUCAUUAAUAUUAUUGCAAUGUGGGCAAUUGCCCACGAGGCCAUCUGCACAUAUAUGUCUCCAUUUUGUCUCCUGGCCUUCAUUCACGCAUAGGCCAUUCCUUUUUGCAUCUUUAUUGCCAUGUAUGUGGUUAUGUUAGUUCCCUGAAGGCCUGCCCAUCCUUUAUUUGCUGCAAUAUGUACGGCACGCAGGGCUAGCUGCUGGGGAAGUAGUGACACCAACAUCAGCUUUAGCUACUCGUCUGUUUGGCUGCUGCCAGGGUAGCUAGCUGAGGCAGCCUGCACAUACACGCAUCCGUACCACUCUGGGAAAAGGGGGGUCAUUUUACCCGUAAUUUUGGGUCAAUCCACCCGUAAUUUGACAGAAAUUACGGGUCCGUAACACGUUACGGGUCCCGUAAUUUGAGCACAAGGAUACAGGUGAACAUUUACGGGUGAAGACCCAGUGAUUACGGGUGGAUUUUACGCGGUGCUGGAGGUUAAUUACGGGCGCAUGUAACCAAUUACACGCAAAAUUACGGGUGAAGACCCAGUGAUUACAGGUGGAUUUUACGUGGUGCUGGAGGUUAAUUACGGGCGCAUGUAACCAAUUACACGCAAAAUUACGGGUGAAGACCCAGUGAUUACGGGUGGAUUUUACGCGGUGCUGGAGGUGAAUUACGGGCGCAUGUAACCAAUUACACGCGAAAUUACGGGUGAAGACCCAGUGAUUACGGGUGGAUUUUACGCGGUGCUGGAGGUGAAUUACGGGCGCAUGUAACCAAUUACACGCAAAAUUACGGGUGAAGACCCAGUGAUUACGGGUGGAUUUUACGCGGUGCUGGAGGUGAAUUACGGGCGCAUGUAACCAAUUACACGCAAAAUUACGGGUGCAGACCCAGUGAUUACGGGUGGAUUUUACGCGGUGCUGGAGGUGAAUUACGGGCGCAUGUAACCAAUUACACGCAAAAUUACGGGUGAAGACCCAGUGAUUACGGGUUACACAGGCAGAUAUUACUCUGCGAUGUGACGCUUACUGCAUGUUAAAUUAACGAUUGGUGAAUACUUGCGGCAAGCCUCAAAAUGGACGCACACCCCUUGUCAAAGUAGCUUAAGUCUCAGUGUGCUUGUGGACCAAGGCGCUUUGGACUCACAACGCCAACCAGCCAGCCUGACAGCCUGAUGCAUUCAUCUCAACCAUCGUCCUCGAAAACAGCGUUCAUGUCACCCCCCAUACAGCAAGUGCUCGCCAAGGAGUCUCACCACCACUUGCAGAGUUCAUGCCUACUCCUACGGAUGAAACCCCCGAUGCAUGACAUGUACCGGCACCUAUUGGGAUUGGUCUGUCCCAUCCUGCCUGGGGCCGACCUGGUGUGUGCACCCCCAAGCGCUCAUCACUGCUGCCAUGUUACUGCUCACUUCCACCACUGUCGCUGCUGCCACUGCCACUGCUGCUGCUGCUAGCUUCGCUAUAUUUGCCCGGGUCCUCCGAGCUGGACUCCUCCCCAGCGCCAGCGGCUAGGACCUCUUCCUCACCAGCAUCCGACCCACCCUCCAAGCUACCCUCCUCUGUCCGCCCCCUCCGCCCUCCCUUGCCUGCGCCGCCCUUCCCCG